RNAcentral lists this ribosomal RNA (433 nucleotides) under uncultured bacterium. Its description in RNAcentral is "partial 16S ribosomal RNA". It matches the Rfam family "Bacterial small subunit ribosomal RNA", at positions 29 to 507 of the family's 1533-position model. The record is from RNAcentral.
AACGAACGCUGGCGGCAUGCCUAACACAUGCAAGUCGAACGAGACCUUCGGGUCUAGUGGCGCACGGGUGCGUACCGCGUGGGAACCUGCCCUUAGGUUCGGAAUAACUCACCGAAAGGGAUGCUAAUACAGGAUAAUGUAUUCGGACCAAAGAUUUAUCGCCUUUGGAUGGGCCCGCGUUGGAUUGGCUAGUUGGUAGGGUAAAAGCCUGCCAAGGCGACGAUCCAUAGCUGGUCUGAGAAGAUGAUCAACCACAAUGGGACUGCGGCACAGCCCAGUCUGCGACGGGGAGGAGGAGUGGGGAAUACUGGGCGAUGGAGGAAGACCUGGUCCAGCAGUGCCGGGGGAGUGGAGAAGGGCUUUGGGUUGUGAAUCUCUUUUUCCCGGGGUGAUAAUGACAGUACCGGGUAGAGAAGCACCGGCUAACUCCGUG